RNAcentral lists this ribosomal RNA (1416 nucleotides) under Mycobacterium gordonae. Its description in RNAcentral is "bacterial SSU rRNA". It matches the Rfam family "Bacterial small subunit ribosomal RNA". Lineage: Bacteria; Bacillati; Actinomycetota; Actinomycetes; Mycobacteriales; Mycobacteriaceae. The record is from RNAcentral.
CACAUGCAAGUCGAACGGAAAGGCCCCUUCGGGGGUACACGAGUGGCGAACGGGUGAGUAACACGUGGGUAAUCUGCCCUGCACAUCGGGAUAAGCCUGGGAAACUGGGUCUAAUACCGAAUAGGACCACGGGAUGCAUGUCCUGUGGUGGAAAGCUUUUGCGGUGUGGGAUGGGCCCGCGGCCUAUCAGCUUGUUGGUGGGGUGAUGGCCCACCAAGGCGACGACGGGUAGCCGGCCUGAGAGGGUGUCCGGCCACACUGGGACUGAGAUACGGCCCAGACUCCUACGGGAGGCAGCAGUGGGGAAUAUUGCACAAUGGGCGCAAGCCUGAUGCAGCGACGCCGCGUGGGGGAUGACGGCCUUCGGGUUGUAAACCUCUUUCACCAUCGACGAAGGUCCGGGUUUUCUCGGAUUGACGGUAGGUGGAGAAGAAGCACCGGCCAACUACGUGCCAGCAGCCGCGGUAAUACGUAGGGUGCGAGCGUUGUCCGGAAUUACUGGGCGUAAAGAGCUCGUAGGUGGUUUGUCGCGUUGUUCGUGAAAUCUCACGGCUUAACUGUGAGCGUGCGGGCGAUACGGGCAGACUUGAGUACUGCAGGGGAGACUGGAAUUCCUGGUGUAGCGGUGGAAUGCGCAGAUAUCAGGAGGAACACCGGUGGCGAAGGCGGGUCUCUGGGCAGUAACUGACGCUGAGGAGCGAAAGCGUGGGGAGCGAACAGGAUUAGAUACCCUGGUAGUCCACGCCGUAAACGGUGGGUACUAGGUGUGGGUUUCCUUCCUUGGGAUCCGUGCCGUAGCUAACGCAUUAAGUACCCCGCCUGGGGAGUACGGCCGCAAGGCUAAAACUCAAAGAAAUUGACGGGGGCCCGCACAAGCGGCGGAGCAUGUGGAUUAAUUCGAUGCAACGCGAAGAACCUUACCUGGGUUUGACAUGCACAGGACGCCGGCAGAGAUGUCGGUUCCCUUGUGGCCUGUGUGCAGGUGGUGCAUGGCUGUCGUCAGCUCGUGUCGUGAGAUGUUGGGUUAAGUCCCGCAACGAGCGCAACCCUUGUCUCAUGUUGCCAGCGGGUAAUGCCGGGGACUCGUGAGAGACUGCCGGGGUCAACUCGGAGGAAGGUGGGGAUGACGUCAAGUCAUCAUGCCCCUUAUGUCCAGGGCUUCACACAUGCUACAAUGGCCGGUACAAAGGGCUGCGAUGCCGCGAGGUUAAGCGAAUCCUUUUAAAGCCGGUCUCAGUUCGGAUCGGGGUCUGCAACUCGACCCCGUGAAGUCGGAGUCGCUAGUAAUCGCAGAUCAGCAACGCUGCGGUGAAUACGUUCCCGGGCCUUGUACACACCGCCCGUCACGUCAUGAAAGUCGGUAACACCCGAAGCCAGUGGCCUAACCCUUUGGGAGGGAGCUGUCGAAGGUGGGAU